AGUAAGGUAACUGGGUCAAAUGGUUCCAUUCCAAGUCUUCUAAGGAAUCUCCAUACUACUUUCCAGUGUGAUUGCACCAAUUUGCAGUCUCACCAGCUAU
RNAcentral lists this microRNA precursor (100 nucleotides) under Marmota monax (woodchuck). Lineage: Eukaryota; Metazoa; Chordata; Mammalia; Rodentia; Sciuridae. The record is from RNAcentral.